AUAAAAACAUAUCUAUACCUGUCUGUGUAUUUUUGUGAUGACCAAGUCUAUAGUCAAACACCAUGAUACACAUUUAUUAUAUCAGCUGGAAGGGCUCAUUCCAUAUCAUUGUUUAAAUAUCCUAGAUUGCUAAAAUUCAGUCAUAAUCCUAUUCAAUCCAAUUCUGCGUAUUUGCUGGGUACCAAUUGCAAGACAUUCCAUCCAGUUGUAAGCAACUGAAAUUUGCCUUGACUUUUGCCAACAGCAAAAAGGCAGACAUGCGUGUUCUGGCUAUAUCAAGGUGGAAAUCGGUCCUGUGUUCUCUUCUAGGGAUCUGCUGGAGGAAGGAAAGGCCACAGUUCCCUGCCUGGCAGAAAAACUUACCAGCGAGCUCAUCACACACAUCUGUAAAUCUCUGCCCCUGUUAGAAAAUCAAAUCAAGGAGAGU
Molecule: small RNA, 427 nt
Filed under: Pongo abelii (Sumatran orangutan)
Lineage: Eukaryota; Metazoa; Chordata; Mammalia; Primates; Hominidae
Description: retained intron
Source: RNAcentral